AUUGAACGCUGGCGGCAGGCCUAACACAUGCAAGUCGAGCGGAUGAAGGGAGCUUGCUCCUGGAUUCAGCGGCGGACGGGUGAGUAAUGCCUAGGAAUCUGCCUGGUAGUGGGGGAUAACGUCCGGAAACGGGCGCUAAUACCGCAUACGUCCUGAGGGAGAAAGUGGGGGAUCUUCGGACCUCACGCUAUCAGAUGAGCCUAGGUCGGAUUAGCUAGUUGGUGGGGUAAAGGCCUACCAAGGCGACGAUCCGUAACUGGUCUGAGAGGAUGAUCAGUCACGCGAGACAUGCGACACGGUCAAGACUGAGACGUGGGGGAGACGUGGGAAGUAUGGGACGAUGGGCGAAUCCGUCCGCCAGCCACGGGGUGUGUGUGAAUAGGGUCUUCGGAGUGAAAAUCACUGUACGGUGGGAGGAAGGGAAUUAGGUUAAUGCGUUUCUGUUUUGACUGUCCUAACAGAAUGAGCAUCGGCUACCUCCCUCCGAGCACCGCGUAAGAGUCGGAAGAGACCUGUCUGAAC
RNAcentral lists this ribosomal RNA (522 nucleotides) under uncultured bacterium. RNAcentral describes it as "partial 16S ribosomal RNA". It matches the Rfam family "Bacterial small subunit ribosomal RNA", at positions 36 to 538 of the family's 1533-position model. The record is from RNAcentral.